UGGGGAAUUUUGCAUAAUGGGGGAAACCCUGAUGCAGCGACGCCGCGUGAUUUAGAAGGCCUUCGGGUUGUAAAAAUCUUUUCUAUGGGAAGAAAAUGACAGUACCAUAGGAAUAAGGACCGGCUAAUUACGUGCCAGCAGCCGCGGUAAUACGUAAGGUCCGAGCGUUGUCCGGAAUCAUUGGGCGUAAAGGGUACGUAGGCGGGUAAGCAAGUUAGAAGUGAAAUCCUGUAGCUCAACUACAGUAAGCUUUUAAAACUGCUCAUCUUGAGAUAUGGAAGGGAAAGUGGAAUUCCUAGUGUAGCGGUGAAAUGCGCAGAUAUUAGGAGGAAUACCGGUGGCGAAGGCGACUUUCUGGCCAUAAUCUGACGCUGAGGUACGAAAGCGUGGGUAGCAAACAGG
This 402-nucleotide ribosomal RNA is filed under the name Bacteroidota bacterium. RNAcentral's name for it is "Bacteroidetes bacterium partial 16S ribosomal RNA". It matches the Rfam family "Bacterial small subunit ribosomal RNA", at positions 355 to 776 of the family's 1533-position model. Lineage: Bacteria; Pseudomonadati; Bacteroidota. The record is from RNAcentral.